Bos taurus (domestic cattle) is the source of this 3236-nucleotide long non-coding RNA. NCBI's taxonomy places the organism in Eukaryota, Metazoa, Chordata, Mammalia, Artiodactyla, Bovidae. The record is from Ensembl.
UUUAGUGUAGGUACAACCAUCAUCACAAUCGAAUUUUAGAACAUAAGACACCCAUUAAAAGUCACCCCCACCUUCCGACCGUCUUUCUGUCUUUAGAGAGUUGCCCCUUCUGGACUUUCCAUAUAACUACGGAAUCACACAAUCUGUGGCCUAUGAAAGUGAAAGUCGCUCAGCUGUGUCCUGUUUGCAACCCCAUGGACUUAGCAGUCCAUGGAAAUCUCCAGGCCAGAAUACUGGAGCCGGUAGCCUUUCCCUUCUCCAGCGGAUCUUCCCGACCCAGGGAUAGAACCCAGGCCUCCCGCAUUGCGGGUGGAUUCUUUACCCGUUGAGCCACCAGGGAAGCCCAAGAAUACUGGAGUGGGUAGCCUAUCCUUUCUCCAGCGGAUCUUCCCGACCCAGGAAUUGAACCACGGUCUCCCGCGUUGCAGGCGGACUCUUUACCAGCUGAGUCACCAGGGAAGCCCAAGAAUACUAGAGUGGGUAGCCUAUCCUUUCUCCAGCGGAUCUUCCCGUCCCAGGAAUUGAACCAGGGUCUCCCGCGUUGCAGGCGGACUCUUUACCAGCUGAGCCGCCGGGGAAGCCCUGUGUGGCCUGUAGUGACUGGUGUAUUUCAGUCGGCAGUGUUCUCGAGGUCCACCAGGUCGUGCCGUGUCAGAGCCUCGCUCCUUUUUAAGGCUGGAUAGCAUUCCCUAGCGAUGGACACACUACGUCUCGUUCACCCGUUCAUCAGCCGAUGGACGGCUGGAGUGCUUCCCCUUUAUGGCGCCUGUGAACAGUGCUGUGAAUACUUGUGUUGUUCGGUGGCCCGGCUUCAACCGUAGUCUCUUUCAACGACACUUUUCUCAUCUGCAAAAUGAGGGUACCACCACCUCCCGAUCACAGAAGCAGGAACAGGUGGGAAAGCACUUUCAACCGUAAAACGCCACAACACAGCAAGGCCCACUUUUUUCGCGUCCGGUUCCUGAAUCUUCCAGAGCUCACUCUUAAAACUCGGGGACCACCACGCUGUAAAUCAGCUACAUCCCAAUAAAAACAAAAAACAACAGCUCGAUGACUUAACGCCACCGAACCGUACACUUUAAAAGGUUUAAAAUGGUACACUUUGGGUAAGUUUUACCACCACAAAAAAGCAAACUCAAAGUCACAAAGGUUUAUGGAACCCUCGCCACGGGCCAGGUCCUGGGCUGGCUGAGGACGAAACCGGAAGUCAGUCCCUCCCGAGCCGCCCCUCCACGACCCUCAAGAGCCCAGCCCAGGAGGAAGCACCCCAGCAUGGGCUCCCGUCACCCACUCCCCUUCACUUCUCUCAAGUCUCCUGGUUUAUUUUUUCAAACUCAAGCAGAUUUUGCCCUCUGCUCUAUUAAUCUGUUUUCAUGUUAAAAAAAAAUGUGUUAAAUGACUUGCCAAUCCAAUGACUGAUCCACUCUCAUUCUCCACCCCAAGUUGCUGAGUCUGUAGAGCCUGGGGGACAUCCUCUUUGGCUCCAUCUACCCCCAGUCCUGCAGGGGUGUGAGCCCCGGGCAGGGAUGUCCAGGUCAGCCCCGCGCAAGGCGGGCAGGUGACCUCAAGGUUGGGAAGAAAACAUGCACAGUAGCCCAUUUCUGUGAAGGACUUGGAGCUUGGAAGAGACACCCAAUCCUCUAUCUGUAGCCCGCCCUCCGCUUGGAAUGAAGACCACAGCUGUGUCCUGAGCCUCGAGGCUGGCCUCACAGGAGGAAUUUGAACACAGCCUGGGUUCCCGCACGCAGUUCAUGACUGCAAAGGGCUUCCUCUUCGAAAUCCAGCCCAAAUGGGCACACUCAAGAAAUGCGGCAGCUUCAGAGAACGUGACCCAGUUAAGUCCCUUCUACUGGUUCUUCCUUCAGCCUCACCUUCUCCAUCAGGGGUGGCCGGCUUUCCAGGGCUUGCCUGACAACAAUCAGCUCUGCUCACAGCACCCCAGGCGGGGCUGAACAGAGACCCUUUGUAGUAUUUGCUGGAAAAGCAAGAGGAAACUUCAGCCAAGGACCAGCUUCUUCUCCCCCUUAUGUAAGAGUUAGUGUUGCUCAUGCCAGUGAAGUCAUGCAGAAAGUCGGCAUGGGCGAGGGCUGACUCCAGUGGGAAUGGUCUCACCGGAACCCCCUUGGAACACAGAGGUGGAGACAGAGACAGGCAGGGAUGGGUCAGUGGGCCCCUCGGACACAGUUCAGCUUCUGACACACUCACGAGCCAACUUUAACACGCUUGCUUGGUUCUCAUAGCACUCAGUCUGGAUGCCAUGGACGGGGGUGGGGGGCACAUCUGCCUCCCCGCCCUCAUCUCAGCACCCUGGCCAUGCGCCCUCUUUUCUGCUCCUCCAACACACUCAGCCUUUUCAACCCCAGGGCCUUUGCACACCCUGCUACUUGAACACCACUUCCCCCAGUUCCUUUCCUCCCAUCCUUCAGGCUUCUGUGCCAGCAGUCCACCCCGAAGGGCUCUUCUCUGACCCAUCACUUCCUCUCUCCUUACUUAUACCAGAUCAUCCCUCUGUCUCCCCUUCGCCCUGCUUUCUUUAGAGGACACUGGAGUCUGUAUCUGCAUGUCCCAUGUCUCCCACACAGAAGACGAUAAUCAUUACGAGGGCAGGGAUUAUCCAUCUUGUUCUCCCCUGUGCCUCCAGCCCAAAGAACAGUACCCAGCACAUAGUAGGUGCUCAGUAAAUAUUUAGCAAAAGAAUGAAUUAAAAUAUCAGUAUAUUCCACACAACUCUGAUCCCUCAUUUUUGGAUUCGGCAAUCUUUCUGGAAGGAAGUAAAAUAAUAUAUAUUCCUGGGUUUAUCUAGACCCAAUAAAAGGGGGAAAAAAAAAAAAGUUCUUAAAUCUCUUGGAAACACCAAACUCCCGACGUAAGCAAAAGAACCUGCAGGUUGAGUUCCAAGAUAUGAGACCUGGCUGGUCACUGAACGUACGUUGUGGGGCUGGGGACUUUACAUAUGAUCCAAUUACCCCAAAUUUUAAGGCAAAUCCAUUUCAAAAUCAAAACCUCAAUAUGGAAAGUGGAGUGUGGCUUUACUCUGGCAUGCCUAUGAGAAGGCAGGCUUUCUGAAAAGAUGCUACGUUGUAGAUAACUCAUCCACAAAAGGCGGGGGGAAGGGAAGGGGAAAAACCCCAGGAUCGGGUGUCUUUCUCUGCUAAAGCUUCAGAUGAAAACCGAUCCGGGAGUGCGUGACCCUCCAAAAAUCUGCCAGCCCCCAAAGUACUUAAGUUACCCCUCCG